RNAcentral lists this ribosomal RNA (427 nucleotides) under uncultured bacterium. RNAcentral describes it as "partial 16S ribosomal RNA". It matches the Rfam family "Bacterial small subunit ribosomal RNA", at positions 354 to 796 of the family's 1533-position model. The record is from RNAcentral.
GUGGGGAAUAUUGGGCAAUGGGGGAAACCCUGACCCAGCGACGCCGCGUGAGGGAAGACGGCCUUCGGGUUGUAAACCUCUUUUGUACGGGAAGAAGGAAGUGACGGUACUGUACGAAUAAGUCCCGGCUAACUACGUGCCAGCAGCCGCGGUAAUACGUAGGGGACGAGCGUUGUCCGGAAUUACUGGGCGUAAAGGGCGCGCAGGCUGUGCUGCAAGUCAGCUGUGAAAUGUCUGGGCUUAACCCGGGCAUGCGGUUGAGACUGCAGUGCUGGAGUGCUGUAGAGGCAAGUGGAAUUCCCAGUGUAGCGGUGAAAUGCGUAGAUAUUGGGAAGAACACCGGUGGCGAAGGCGACUUGCUGGGCAGCAACUGACGCUGAGGCGCGAAAGCCAGGGGAGCAAACGGGAUUAGAUACCCCUGUAGUCC